This is a long non-coding RNA of Vanessa tameamea, 3179 nucleotides long. RefSeq lists it as uncharacterized. Lineage: Eukaryota; Metazoa; Arthropoda; Insecta; Lepidoptera; Nymphalidae. The record is from RefSeq and is a predicted model, not a curated record. The transcript has 2 exons.
UUUAAAAUGUCAAAAUAACUCUCUCGAUGCCAAAUAACUGUUGUUUUAAUAGAUUUUCGACUAAAAUUCUUUAUAAAAUGCAUCGAGAUAGAGUUUUUCGCGAAGCUUUUGGUAUAAAAAUGAUACAAGUAAUACAAAAGACUGCGGCAAAUUAUUCAUUACAACAAUUUCGUGGUUUAAUCCCAUAGCAUCGAAACGUCAAGUUGUUUUUAAACUUGUUUUGCGCGUAUUUUUGCUAUAAAUAGUGUUAGAAAUUGUAAUAUUGUGAUGCUUUAAAGAUAAAGCAAUAAGUCUGUGCAUUUUAGUGUGUGGUUAUAUGUGAAAUAAGCAAAGUGAUAUGAUGUGUUAAGGUUAGUUUUUGUUCCCGCUUUUACCUUAUUUUGAGGUCCUGUGCCUGAAUCCUGUCUUCGGUUUGUUCCGGCGCAGUUUAUACCUGGUCGAACGGGAGCCGGCCUACUUAUUCUGAACGGAUUCACGUUUUACAUGAAGAAUCAUCAGGCACAUGGAAAGAAACAGUGGUACUGCUCAUCGAGGGACGUUCAUGGGUGUAGAGCUGACGUUAUCACGUACAAAGGCGUAGACGGUCGCGAUUAUAUUUCGAUAUUUCGCGGUCGACAUAUACACGAUCCACCCCGUCUCAGACAAUGUCACGACGGAAGAUUUAUUAGGGAAAAAGAUGUCUUCAGACAAUCGCUUAAAUGACUUCAAUGUUAAUUGUUUUUUUUUUUGUAUACAAUAUUUUUUGUUAUAUUAAAGAUCAUGUGAUGUAAUUAAAUGUACUUAUUAGGUAUAUUAACGUGUUUUUGGAAGCAUGUUUCUGGUAGGGACCUGCUAGUUUAUAGAUGGAAAUAAAUUUUGACGAUAUUUUAGAAUACACUAUUCUGGUACAUGUAAAGCUUUUAUUUUACUGUUUUUGACCUAUUAAAGUUGAUUUUUAGAAGUUAUUUGAUACUUUAUUAUGUUACGUUUAUUGAUUUUUAAUCUAAGCAAUAACUUUGUAUGUACCUAUAUUUGUGCUCAUAAUAAGGUUGAGGUUAUUUUUCAGGGAUAUACUACCUACCUUCGCAUCGUUCAGGAAGCAUGGUACUUAUAUUUAAGGACAACAAAUACUGGAUAAACAAUCGUUAUCAGAACACAAUCAACUGGACCUGCAGAGAUCGUAAACGCCUGGGAUGCAACAGCUGCGUUCAAACUACCGUCGAGGGGCGAUACAUCAAACAUAAAGGUUUUCACAAUCACGAGGACAACUACACGAAGUAUAAUUUCAAUGACUGAUAUCUACCUAAUAGUCUAGGUUUGCCUGUUAUCACAUCUGUAGAAAGUUAUAGCGCGCCAAAAGAUUAAUAAGGUGCUCCAGACGAAGACCAAGUGUCAAUAUUCCAUUAGUAACUUCAGCUUUAGCUCGUUAUAAGCUACUAAUUGUAACUUCAACAACUUAAAUAGUAAGCUACUGAAUUUUCUAUCAUUAUUUGCGGAAUGCUUUCUAGUGUUUAUUAAUUAACGUUAAUGUGGAUAGAGUUACAAUUAUUUAUCGUAAAUUAUCAUUCCUUCGAUUCGUUCCAGAAUAUCAUUAGUCUGAUUUCCCCCCUUAUAGUUGUAUAAUGUUUGAUUAAUAUAAUAUGUGAAGUAGGUUUGUUGUAAACUUUUCACUCAGAGACGAAUCACAUGACGUGGCGCCUUAUAUGACACGGUCUUCAUUCGUCACUUGGAAGGCACAACUAUGUCAAAUUAUAAGCUAUUCUACCUGCCUGAGAAAACAGAUUAAAUGUUACAUAAGAGUCCAUUAUGUCCACUCAACAAUAAGUCUUCAUCAUAGUUAUUAUCUGAAUAUGGUCUGAUUUUGUUAAAUUUUCAAUAAACUUUUAAUGACUUAGAUGAUAUCCAUAAGAUUCGUUUUUUCUUAUGACGAUGGGAUAAUUAAUAUUCGAUAUUACUCAUGUAACCUUUUAAUGAUGCCAAAUUGUAAUUCGAAGAUCAAGAAAGACGUUAUAAAGAGUACCAGUAAUUAUAGUCAUGAAAUACUGACCAAAUAUUGGACUGAUUGAGUUACUUAAGAUUAAAUUUAAGCCGUUUCUUGCUUAUUAGUCGUAGUUAUCUUGUAUUUAUUCGCGAUAAUCACACGUUUUAAAUGUAUGUGUUCUAUUCUAGUUUCUAAAAGGUCUUAUAUAGCAUUUGUGGUAUCUAUCCAUCCGAUAUGUUCGUAUAAAUUUAAGCCUCGUGUUCUUCGAAAAUAUGAAUUACAGAAUUAAAUAUCUUUUGACACCAUGAUGCGAAAAACUAGUGUAUAGAUUCGAUCAUAGUAAAGUUAUCAUGAAUAUUUAUCUUAAUUGUCUAAUUACAAUUAUAAUAAUUUACUUUAGGGAUGAUUAUGUAACAAUUGUAAUAGUAAUUGCUAGUAAAUUAUAUUACACUUGAUACCACAAAGUGGUUGUUUCAAAUAAGUAUUUAUUAAGAUUAAUUUGACGUUUAAUGAGCACUGAUAUAUGAAUAUUAACAUAUAUAUUGGUGUCGAUGCUGAACCAUUAAAUUAAACUAAUUUGACGGGAAAUAUUGCUAUCUCUUUCUAUCGUGUAAUGUUAAAAAGUGUAGCAAGUCUUUUGUCUCGUCAAACUAGUUUAUUGGGUUGAACAAAUUCAGCACUUUAGUAAACUAAACUUUGUAACCGAAAAUGCAUUUUUAGCUUAAUUUUAACUUAAAAGUUUAAGUACACUAGAAAAAAAUGUUUUAUGAAAAUUGUGUUUUUUUUUUCGUGUUAAUAUUAUUUGCUCAAUGAAGUAAGUUAUAUUCCAAAUUAUUUUGGACUUCUGGUCAAACGAGAUCAACUUAUAGAACUCACAUUGCAGAAGUAUCGACUAACAUUCCAUGUUUUGUACGCCAAUUAGGAGCCAUAUUUGAAGUUCAGUACUUUUUUAUUUUAAAGUUAAUAUUUUUAUUUAUUAACGACUUUACUUAUAAGCGUUGUUCAGUUAAACUCAGAUACAUCUUUCAUUCAUCAGUAUAAGACACAGUUUGUCUAAUCAACCUUUAUAGGUAAAGUCGUAAGUGUUGUAAUGUUUGUUUAUGACCUAGUCAUUAUGGCUAUAUAAAAUUCCUUCUCGUGCCAAAUCGUAUUUAAGAUAAUUUUAUACUUAAUGUAAUUGUAUAUCAAAAUUAUAGACGAUAAAAUGUACAUUUUUAUA